Molecule: transfer RNA, 62 nt
Filed under: Rhipicephalus appendiculatus
Lineage: Eukaryota; Metazoa; Arthropoda; Arachnida; Ixodida; Ixodidae
Description: tRNA-Glu
Source: RNAcentral
AUUUAAAUAGUGUAAGUUAACACUUAACUUUUUCAUUGUUACAAUCCUAAGAGGUUUAAAUU